Molecule: long non-coding RNA, 1046 nt
Organism: Prosopis cineraria
Lineage: Eukaryota; Viridiplantae; Streptophyta; Magnoliopsida; Fabales; Fabaceae
Exons: 2
Source: RefSeq, a predicted model, not a curated record
UGCAACUUUUGGCCCAAAUAUUUGAAUAAUUAAAUUCAAACCUAUAGUUUUUUUUAAAUAUAAUUUUGGGACUACAAUCCCAUUUUUAUAUUAUUUUUCUCUCUUCCUCUCACGUUGCUCAGCGUUUUCUCGCAAGGGGGGAUUAUUUUCUUUGUCUUCAGAUUAUAUUGACAAAGAUAGUGGUGAAAAAAGAGUUGUGAAGGGGAACUUGUUAUUCAAGACACAAGGUAACCAUUAUUAAUGUGUUGUGAUGAGUGUGUUUGUGAAUGGUUAUGUGUUGUUUUGUUGUUUGGAAAAAUUAUGAAUUAUUGAAAAUAAAUACUGUUAUAUACUUGUUUGAAAUUAUUGCCAAGUGGGUUAAAAAUUUAUUUUUGUUUAUCAUGAUGAGAUAUUAUUGUUCGGAUAUAUUUCUGUUUGGAUAUUUGAAUGAUGCAUGACUUGUCAGGGUAUUUUAAUGUAUGGUGUUAAUGGGAAUUUCUGUUCGGUUAAUUAUUACCACGUGGUAAGCCCUCAUUGGACCCAAUGAGUGGCGUGUCGCUUGGUCCAACUCACCUUUGGCCGGGUGAUUUGGCGUCCGAGCAUGGUGAAAGGAGGAUAUAAGGUGCAGUCAUGCAAUUAAAUACUUGUUCGGUUUGUUUGAAAAUAUUGUUCGGUUAAAUGUUUUGUGUGCCCACUUAGCAAUCGCAUGAUUAGUUACAUCCGCAUGCAUCAUUACAUAUUAAUUUUUGGUUACUGGGACUUUUAAGUCUCAUUCCCCGUGGUUAAUAUUUUUACAGGAGCGAAUCCGGCCGAGAAAGCACCAGAGGUGUAAUUAUGGUGUAUGAGACACCAUCUUUUACGUUGCCUCUUAUUUUGGAUUAUACAAUGUAUCUUGUGCCAACUUAGGACAUAUCUUGUCUAUGGAGCAUGUAAACUCUAAUCCUUUUUAUUAAAUGCAUUUAUAUGUCCAAGAGGAUUAUGUCUGUCCCUUUUGAUUCAUGACCUAAUUUGAAUAACAUGCUAUGAGGAUCAUGUCUGUCCCUCAUGGUUCUAAUUGCUUUUUGAGA